This 314-nucleotide ribosomal RNA is filed under the name Lysinibacillus fusiformis. Its description in RNAcentral is "partial 23S ribosomal RNA". It matches the Rfam family "Bacterial large subunit ribosomal RNA", at positions 137 to 444 of the family's 2925-position model. Lineage: Bacteria; Bacillati; Bacillota; Bacilli; Caryophanales; Bacillaceae. The record is from RNAcentral.
UUAAUCGCGUAGUAUCUUGACGUGAAUACAUAGCGUCUUGAAGGCAGACCCAGGGAACUGAAACAUCUAAGUACCUGGAGGAAGAGAAAGAAAAAUCGAUUCCCUGAGUAGCGGCGAGCGAAACGGGAAGAGCCCAAACCAAGAGGCUUGCCUCUUGGGGUUGUAGGACACUCAAUACGGAGUUACAAAAGAGCGAGUUAGAUGAAGCGACUUGGAAAGGUCCGCCAGAGCAGGUAAAAGCCCUGUAGUCGAAAGUUCGUUCCCUCCUGAGUGGAUCCUGAGUACGGCGGAACACGUGAAAUUCCGUCGGAAUC